UGGCGGCGGCCUACACAUGCAAGUCGAGCGGAUGACAGGAGCUUGCUCCUGAAUUCAGCGGCGGACGGGUGAGUAAUGCCUAGGAAUCUGCCUGGUAGUGGGGGACAACGUUUCGAAAGGAACGCUAAUACCGCAUACGUCCUACGGGAGAAAGCAGGGGACCUUCGGGCCUUGCGCUAUCAGAUGAGCCUAGGUCGGAUUAGCUAGUUGGUGAGGUAAUGGCUCACCAAGGCGACGAUCCGUAACUGGUCUGAGAGGAUGAUCAGUCACACUGGAACUGAGACACGGUCCAGACUCCUACGGGAGGCAGCAGUGGGGAAUAUUGGACAAUGGGCGAAAGCCUGAUCCAGCCAUGCCGCGUGUGUGAAGAAGGUCUUCGGAUUGUAAAGCACUUUAAGUUGGGAGGAAGGGCAGUAACUUAAUACGUUGCUGUUUUGACGUUACCGACAGAAUAAGCACCGGCUAACUCUGUGCCAGCAGCCGCGGUAAU
This 490-nucleotide ribosomal RNA is filed under the name uncultured bacterium. Its description in RNAcentral is "bacterial SSU rRNA". It matches the Rfam family "Bacterial small subunit ribosomal RNA", at positions 37 to 524 of the family's 1533-position model. The record is from RNAcentral.